Molecule: ribosomal RNA, 363 nt
Filed under: uncultured bacterium
Lineage: Bacteria
Description: bacterial SSU rRNA
Rfam family: Bacterial small subunit ribosomal RNA
Source: RNAcentral
UAUUUGUUGUAGCAAUACAGUGAAUGUUUAGCGGCAGACGGGUGAGUAACACGUGAGAAAUCUACCUCCAAGAAGGGGACAACCUGCCGAAAGGCGGGCUAAUACCCUAUACAAUCCCUAGAAGGCAUCUUCAGGGGAUGAAAGGCCCGCAAGGGCCACUGGGAGAGGAUCUUGCGGCCUAUCAGCUAGUUGGCGGGGUAAUGGCCCACCAAGGCAACGACGGGUAGCCGGACUGAAAGGUCGAACGGCCACAAGGGCACUGAGACACGGGCCCUACUCCUACGGGAGGCAGCAGUGGGGAAUUUUGGACAAUGGGCGAAAGCCUGAUCCAGCAACGCUGCGUGGAGGAUGAAGGUCUUCGGA